CAAGUAGAACGAACGCUGGCGGCAAGCCUAACACAUGCAAGUCGAACGGUCAAUUAUUUAUUAGCCUCUGGCUAUAGGAAAUUGUUAGUGGCAGACGGGUGAGUAAUGCGUAGGAAUCUACCUAGUAGUACGGAAUAGCCAUUAGAAAUGGUGGGUAAUACUGUAUAAUCCCCGAGGGGGAAAGAUUUAUCGCUAUUAGAUGAGCCUACGUUAGAUUAGCUAGUUGGUGAGGUAAUGGCUUACCAAGGCUAUGAUCUAUAGCUGGUCUGAGAGGACGAUCAGCCACACUGGAACUGAGAUACGGUCCAGACUCCUACGGGAGGCAGCAGUGGGGAAUAUUGGACAAUGGGCGAAAGCCUGAUCCAGCUAUGCCGCGUGAGUGAAGAAGGCCUUCGGGUUGUAAAACUCUUUCAAUAGGGAAGAUAAUGACGGUACCUAUAA
RNAcentral lists this ribosomal RNA (441 nucleotides) under uncultured Ehrlichia sp. RNAcentral describes it as "bacterial SSU rRNA". It matches the Rfam family "Bacterial small subunit ribosomal RNA", at positions 26 to 484 of the family's 1533-position model. Lineage: Bacteria; Pseudomonadati; Pseudomonadota; Alphaproteobacteria; Rickettsiales; Anaplasmataceae. The record is from RNAcentral.